GGAGUAACUAUGACUCUCU
This 19-nucleotide non-coding RNA is filed under the name Arabidopsis thaliana (thale cress). Lineage: Eukaryota; Viridiplantae; Streptophyta; Magnoliopsida; Brassicales; Brassicaceae. RNAcentral also lists the same sequence under 1 other name. The record is from RNAcentral.